AGGUACGCCCUGACAAGAUAGGGGCGUUUAAUAGGGAAGUCUGGGCCAAUUGCCCCGCAGCCCCCGCUGCCGUUUCAGCGGCGCGCGCUCUCCACUGUAAAAGUCGCGGCAAUCCGCGGCAUAUGGGAAGGGGAGCGCUGCAUCAAAACCGCUGUUGUAAGCCGGAAGACCUGCCGCACGC
RNAcentral lists this non-coding RNA (181 nucleotides) under human gut metagenome. The record is from RNAcentral.